GAUAUUUUAGUUAUUUUUGUGUAUUUUUAGAUAUAUUCAAGCAAAACUACUCGUGUUGUUUUGGGAAUUUUUGAAAAUUUCAAGUAAUUUAAUAAAUUUGCACAGAAAAUUUUGAUAUUUGAAUAUAUAAAUAAGUCUGAACCUGAACUCAAACCGAACCCGAUCCAAAAUCUUAAAUUACCCGAACGGGUCUUAAACUUCUAAAUCCAAAAAAUCCGAACCCGAAAUAUUUGACCUAAAUACCCAAACGCCCAGGACUAGCAGUAACGAGCCUUAACCCGUUUUGAGUAAAGCUUUUUUU
This 301-nucleotide small RNA is filed under the name Arabidopsis thaliana (thale cress). RNAcentral's name for it is "ATSL082650". The record is from RNAcentral. Lineage: Eukaryota; Viridiplantae; Streptophyta; Magnoliopsida; Brassicales; Brassicaceae.